GUGAAUCAUCAAAUUUUUGAACGCAAAUUGCACUAUCUUCUGAUAGGAUGCCUGUUUGAGUUUCAGCCUAAGAAAAAUCGACAUAUUCUCUGUUUCGCGUUUACAUUCGUCGGAAAUUAGGUCAUCUUAAACCUUUUGUUUUUAAGCGUCUUAAAAUUUUCUUUACUAUUCCACGUACGUUUCUAAGAGUUACUUACACGUUUAAUGUAUCGAUUUUUAUUAUACGUGUUCAUUGCAUCGGUUUACGUCCAUAAAUAGUGCUUUAACGACCCU
This 273-nucleotide unclassified non-coding RNA is filed under the name Glomus sp. Its description in RNAcentral is "partial internal transcribed spacer 2". The stretch from base 1 to 65 matches the Rfam family "5.8S ribosomal RNA", at positions 84 to 154 of the family's 154-position model. Lineage: Eukaryota; Fungi; Glomeromycota; Glomeromycetes; Glomerales; Glomeraceae. The record is from RNAcentral.